Molecule: long non-coding RNA, 4968 nt
Filed under: Sus scrofa (pig)
Lineage: Eukaryota; Metazoa; Chordata; Mammalia; Artiodactyla; Suidae
Description: lncRNA (ENSSSCG00000046749.2)
Source: RNAcentral
AUUCCCUUAUCUUUUUCUACUCCUUCUGGAAUUCCUAUUAUGCGUAGAUUGGCCCGCUUUAUAUUAUCCCAUAGGUCUCUUAUAUUGCUUUCCAGUUUUUUGAUUCGGUUUUCUGUCUGUUGACCAAAUUGAGUGAUUUCCAUUAUUCUAUCUUCCAUAUCACUGAUUCGUUCUUCUGCAUUAUUCAUUCUGGUUUUUACUGCCCCUAGUUCAGUUUGCAUCUCUGCAAAUGAAUGUUCUAGUUUUUCUUGGCUCCUCCUCAUAUUUUCUAGUUCCUUUCUGAGGGUAUCUGCAUUACUGUUCAUAUCUUCUCUUAAUUCCUUCAGUAUUUUCACUAUUUCUCUUUUGAACUCCAGGUCUGUCAGACUGCCGAGAUCUGUUUCAUUGUUGACUGUUUUAGGUGAGUUCUCCUGUUGGUUUGAGUGGGGGUGGUUUCUCAGCUUCUUCAUCUUGCUUGUUGUUUUCUUUCUCCUGAGGGAGUUGUACUCUCCGUUAUCGGGCAGUGUUUGCCUUGUCACUGCCGUGGAAUAUUUCCUGAGGGCUGGCGUUGUUGGUCAAUCUUUUUUGAGGCAGUGUGGCUUUUCUGGAGUGUUGAUGGGGCUAACAGUGUUUCUUUGAAGCAAAGGAGGACUUCCUGAGGGCAGACAGGACUGAGAGGUCCACACCGCGAUGGUAGAUUUCACUUGGCCAUGCAGAGCUUGCUCUGGUGUUUUUAGGCUGUGGGGUUCUUGCAGGGGGUUGGCGGUGUUGGGCAGCUGCUUUUUAGGGGUGCAUCACCCCCUGGGGGCUGGAGCAGCUAUCUGGGGCAAUGAGAACCUGAGAGGCUCUUCCCUAGGGCAGCCCAACUCAGGACGACAGCCUGAGAAUGUAGGUGGAUCUUUUCACAGUCUGGCUGAGCUUGUUGCAGCUUUUCUGGGCUGCAGGGGGUCCUGCCUGGAGCUGGCAGUCCUAUGCAGCUGGUCCACUAGAGCAUCCCCUGGGGGCUUGGGCGGGUAGCAGGGCCGUUGGAAACCGAAGAGGCUCCUCCCCGGGGCAACCCGACUCAGAAAAACCGUCGGAGAAUUAGGCCGAUCUAUUCACAGCCUGGCUAAGCUUGUUCUAGCUUUUCUAGGCUGCAGGCCUUUUCUCGGGGGCUGGUGCUGUUUGGUGCUGCUCUGCGGAAGUGUAGCCCCUCCAAAGGGCAAGCAGGCCUGUGCAGGGACAGCCCCUGCGGUGGUAGGCUUCAGGCAAUUGUUGAGGCCAGCCCUCCUGGAUGGCAGGCAGCCCCAGGUCCAUGAGAGCAUAGGGCGUGGCGGGGGUGGGGGGAGGGGAUGCACUGGGAAGCACAGUUUUCAGCUAGCUAGCGGGCCUGUAAGCUUGCUGUGGCGUGGGGGGUAUUCUAUGGGGACCCACCCCUUCUUCUCUCCCCUCCCCAGCACGGGCACAGACUAGGCUCUUCUCCCAGGUUCCCUCUGAUGUGGCUUUCCCCUUCCCCGCCCCUAGAGUAUUGUUCCCUUCCUCUGCGACAGCUUUGUUUUCUAGUCUCCCAGGCAGUCUCUGCCCCGUCAACUGGUUUAGAGACCUCCCAAGCAGUUUCUGCUCUGCCCCGCCCCCCUAGCCCGGGGACUAAUCUCUGGAGCCGAGGUCUCGGUGCCCAGCCCCCCCCCAGGCGUCCCCCGGCUCCCUCUCGGGGACUAACCUUCCGCGGCGAGGUCUCGGUGCCCAGCCCCCACCCAGGCGUCCCCCGGCUCCCUCUCGGGGACUAACCUUCCGCGGCGAGGUCUCGGUGCCCAGCCCCCACCCAGGCGGCGCCCCCCCGGCCCUUUCUCGGGGACUAACCUUCGGCGGCGAGGUCUCGGUGCCCAGCCCCCCUCCCAGGCGUCCCCCGGCCCUUUCUCAGGGAUUAACCUUCGGAGGCGAAGGACCACAUCUUCUUUAUCCCUCUGUCGAUGGACUUUCAGGUGGUUUCGAUGUCUUGACUACUGUGAAUAGUGCUGCUAUGAACGUAGGGGUGCUUGGAUCUUUUCCAAUUAGGGUUUCUUCCAGAUGUGUGCCCAGGUAUGGGAUUGCUGGAUCCCAUGGUAGUUCUACGUGUAGUUUUUUGAGGAACCUCCAUACUGGUUUACAUAGUGGUUGUACCAAUUUAUGUUCCCACCAACAGUGUAGGAGGGUUCCCUUUUCUCCACACCCUCUCCAGUAUUUUUUUUUUUUAUUUUUAGGGCCACACCUGCAGCAUAUAGAAGUUCCCAGGCCAGGGGUCAAAUUGGAGCUACAAACCACAGCCACAGCAACACCAGAUCCGAACUGCAUCUGCAACUGACACCACAGCUCACAGCAGUGCUGGAUCCUUAACUCACUGAGUGGGGCCAGGGACGGAACCUGUAUCCUCAUGGAUCAUAGUUGGGUUCAUUUCCACUGAGCCACAACAGGAACUCCUCCCCAGCAUUUAUUAUGUGUAGAAGGUCCACUGCAUUUUUAACCAGUUCCUCUACCGCUUCAACUGCUGGCCCCACAGAGGUGCGCUCAGGGAAAACACUGCUGAAUUUGCAGAGACGAUUUGCAGUUUUGUCAUUACUUGUCUGGGUUAACAGGAGCCUCUCAGCCUUGGUCCCAUUUAUGGAAGAACAAAUCCAAGAGCCGUUUUCUUUGCACCUUCCUGAUGUUCAAGCACAAUGUUGCAGUGACUUUAUUUGUGUGUCAUGACACAUCGGCUGUGGUUUCAGGAGUUGGUCUGAAACAGCACGUGAAUCAUGAACCAGUUUCCGCUGGUUUGGCCCCUUCAGUGGGUUGUUGAUUGCUUACCUUGAAACGGCACCCGCUUCAACUGGUUUUGCCACCUUGAGGAGGUUGCUGACUCAUCAAAUCUUGAGUUAUUUUACAGGGACAACCUGGUACCUGUUCAAGACAGAAGCCCACAUCUCCAGGACGACCCCAGAACCAUGAAUCUUCUGUCUGCGGAACCUAAAGAACAGAAAAGUUGCCAGUGCCGCCCUUGAUGAGGCAGGAACUCUUUCAAUGGGAAGCAUCUGGCUUCAGCCACAGGGGUAGCAUCUAUGGCCUGACUCAAGACUAGCCAGUCAGCUUCCCCAACUCCUUGAACUCCACCCAGCCUCUGGAUGGAGGAGACAGGUUGGAGAGCCUUGCUUCUGGGCUCCUUGCUGGUUGACCGCACGGCAACGCUCUUCCUCUUACUAAAGUUGGUGCCGUGGGUUGGCUUCUGUGCGUGUCCGACGGGGAGCCUCUUCUCGGUGACAAAUCUGACCGUUUCUCAUGUGCCCAGUCGCCUGAGCAUCGGGCGUCUCAGCCAGUACGCACUCUACACGCCCCACUGGCCGCUCAGGAGGUCUGAGAUGUGUGUCCCGAGGGAUGACGGAACGCUGGUGCUAUUUUUCAUCAGGCUGUUGUGCAGGAUCCUUCCUCGUCCACUGGAUGCAAAGGUGUGGGGUCAGGAGAUGCCAACUAGGACAUUGAGAAUGGAUGAGCAAAGAGGUCCUGCUGUCCCACACAGGGGACUCCAUCCAGUCUCUUGGGAUAGACCAGGAUGGAAGAUGAUAUGAGAAAAAGAAGCACCUGCCUGGAUUGGGUGUAAAGGAUCCUGAGAGCGACAGCUUGUGACAUCCUCCUGAGUGAUGCUGAGGUGAUGCAGUCCCGUCAUCUUCAGCCUGCAAAGCCAUCUUGCCCAAGAAGCCUCAUUCCCGGGGCAUCCGGCCAUACGAGAAAGGCUGCCGGGGCUAAAGACGUUACAGACGAAGCACCUACCUUCCUGAAGCCUGUGACUCCCGACGGCGUCCCUGGAGGACGUCCCGGCGUGAAGGCUGGACGCUGUCCUGUACGGUGAAUCAGAUGACUCCUCUGCUCGACCCAGUCCAUCUCCAAGGGGGAGCAUGAACAUCAGACAUCAUCACCACAGAUCUCCAAUACCGUUUGAGGGCUCCAUCCACACGGCCUUUCCUGCUUCUCGAGGCUCCGUCCUGAGACCUGCCUGGGCACAUCCACACUUGCGGAGCCAGAGGCAGCCUCAGGGUCUGAACGCUGGCACCUGUCUGUGGAGCAGUCGGGAUUCCUCGGGGAAAAGAGAAACAGGUUCCGAUUAUUUUAGGGCCGUGACUGCAGCAUGUGGAAGUUCCCAGACUAUAGGGGUUGAAUCGGAGCUGCAGCUGCCAGUCUACACCGCAGCCAUGUGGGAUCCAAGCCACUUCUGUGACCUACACCACAGCUCACAGCAGAGGCAGAUCCUUAACCCAGGGAGUCCCCAUACCUCUCAUGAGAAGAUCUCCUGAGCAGUUCCCUGAGGCCGACGGAAAGGGGAACUGCCUGGGCGGACACCGGUCUCGCUGGGAAACUGAUGGUUGGUUCCGACGUGGCAGCGGCUUUGAGAGUUUUUAGAGAUUCCCCGAGAGAAAUCACUCUCUGCCAUCAAAUGACCACAGCAGAAUGACCGCAGUGCUCACAGCGCUAAGACUUCCCGCGAAGCCGUCUGCUCUGCUCCUGGGACGUCAGGUCAUAGGAGCUGGAAGGACCUCGCCGUCUCGGUGACAGUGACUACAAUUGGGAUUAACUUUCGGAGCAGAUGCUCGAUGGCUGUCUGCUUCCCACCUCUGUCACUGACGACUUACUUUCCAGGCAACCUCCCACCCUGGGUGCACGUGCCCACUGCCCGGCACAGAUGCACACAUGCAGACACAGACUUGUACAGAGAUGACACAUACACACCUGUACACACACACUCACAUAGACACACUUGUAGACACAUGCAUACACAAAACAUACAACAUGGGCAGACGUGCACAGACAUGCAGAAAUAGAUACACACACAUGCACAAAGACUCAGAUACAUAACACACAAGACCACACCCUCACACGGACACCCCUGUGCACAGAGUUCUCUAGAAUCCAAAAACCACUCUCCUGCCUUCUCUUUAACCAAGUUCAAAAACUACAGAUUUAUGGCCUUUCAUUUUUCUGAAUUGAAAAUACAACCAACAGUUC